GCGAUGCCGCGUGAGUGAAGAAGGCCUUUGGGUUGUAAAGCUCUUUCGUCGGGGAAGGAAAUGACUGUACCCGAAUAAGAAGGUCCGGCUAACUUCGUGCCAGCAGCCGCGGUAAUACGAAGGGACCUAGCGURGUUCGGAAUUACUGGGCUUAAAGAGCACGUAGGUGGUUAAGAAAGUUGGUGGUGAAAUCCCAAGGCUUAACCUUGGAACUGCCACCAAAACUUUUUAACUAGAGUGUGAUAGAGGWAAGCGGAAUUUCUAGUGUAGAGGURAAAUUCGUAGAUAUUAGAAAGAACAUCAAUUGCGAAGGCAGCUUUCUGGAUCAUUACUGACACUGAGGUGCGAAAGCAUGGGUAGCGAAGAGGAUUAGAUACCCUUGUAGUCCAUGCCGUAAACGAUGUGUGCUAGACGUUGGRAAUUUAAUUCUCAGUGUCGCAGCAAAAGCGUUAAGCACACCGCCUGGGGAGUACGACCGCAAGGUUAAAACUCAAAUGAAUUGACGGGGACCCGCACAAGCAGUGGAGCAUGUGGUUUAAUUCGAAGAUACGCGCAGAACCUUACCAACUCUUGACAUGUUCGUCGCGACUUUAAGAGAUUAGAGUCUUCGGUUCGGCCGGACGAAACACAGGUGCUGCAUGGCUGUCGUCAGCUCGUGUCGUGAGAUGUUGGGUUAAGUCCCGCAACGAGCGCAACCCUCACUUUUAGUUGCCAUCAUUUAG
This 722-nucleotide ribosomal RNA is filed under the name uncultured Pelagibacterales bacterium. Its description in RNAcentral is "bacterial SSU rRNA". It matches the Rfam family "Bacterial small subunit ribosomal RNA", at positions 391 to 1128 of the family's 1533-position model. Lineage: Bacteria; Pseudomonadati; Pseudomonadota; Alphaproteobacteria; Candidatus Pelagibacterales. The record is from RNAcentral.